This 520-nucleotide ribosomal RNA is filed under the name uncultured Acidobacteriota bacterium. RNAcentral describes it as "bacterial SSU rRNA". It matches the Rfam family "Bacterial small subunit ribosomal RNA", at positions 386 to 896 of the family's 1533-position model. The record is from RNAcentral. Lineage: Bacteria; Pseudomonadati; Acidobacteriota.
ACGAAGCAACGCCGCGUGGAGGAUGAAGGCCUUCGGGUCGUAAACUCCUGUCGACCGGGACGAAAGUAGCCUGACCCAAUACGUCGGGCUGUUGACUGUACCGGUGGAGGAAGCCACGGCUAACUCUGUGCCAGCAGCCGCGGUAAUACAGAGGUGGCAAGCGUUGUUCGGAAUUACUGGGCGUAAAGGGCGCGUAGGCGGCCUGGUCAGUCCCGUGUGAAAUCCCUCGGCUCAACUGAGGAACUGCACGGGAAACUGCCUGGCUUGAGUUCGGGAGAGGGAAGCGGAAUUCCGGGUGUAGCGGUGAAAUGCGUAGAUAUCCGGAGGAACACCGGUGGCGAAGGCGGCUUCCUGGACCGACACUGACGCUGAGGCGCGAAAGCUAGGGGAGCAAACGGGAUUAGAUACCCCGGUAGUCCUAGCUGUAAACGAUGAGUGCUGGGUGUAGGAGGUAUCAACCCCUCCUGUGCCGAAGCUAACGCAUUAAGCACUCCGCCUGGGGAGUACGGUCGCAAGGCUG